GCUCAAACCUGUGAUCCCCUGCCUCAGAUGCAGAGUGCUGGGAUUACAGGCAUGUGCCACUACCCCAGCUACACUAUUGCAAUUUUUUAAAAGAAAUUGUUUUGAAAUAUGUUUUGCAUCACUAGAAGCAGCAAAAGUAGUGAAGAGACUUACUACAUGGUCUUCUUUCUGUGAAACUUUUUACAUAACCUCAGUACAUUAUCUAAACUGGGAAGCUGACAUGGGUCCAACACAUAGUCUAGGACUACUAUUGUGGCUCUUUCUCCCUCCUCCUCUAAUUUUCUCAUGUUAUUCUGUGCCUGCAACUUCUCUGUCCAAGACAGCUUCAAGAUGAAAUUCAGUGCCUAGAGUUCUAGUCAUCAUGAUUCCUUUACAAAUAGCAAGAAGAAAGGAAGAUGGAAAUCCAAAAAAAUCAAAGAGCUCACCCCAGUCAGCUUAUUUUAAGGGAUGUUCUUAGAAAACCACACAGUGCUUCUGUUUUGGCCAGAACGCAUCAGCAUGUGGAUCUCUCACUGUGACGAGGCUGGGAAAGUAGACAGACUUUUUGCUGAGUAUAUUGCCACUCUGGAUAGAAUCAAGAAAGAGGGGAGAGUGGAGAUUGGGCAGACAGUGUGCAAUUCCCAGGGAUCUGCUCAUUGGAAUGAAAUACAGGCAACUAUAUAUGCUAGUUGCAGUUGGGAAUCUUGACACUUACACUUUAUACUUUGGCUGUAAAAUAUGUCAUUCAUCCCACAUGAGUAUUUGGAAUGCUAUAAAUUGUUAGAUUUAAAAGUUGCAAUGGCCCAAACAUGGUGUUUUACCAUAAGCUUUGGUUGAAUGAAGUACACCUUGGCUUUGCAGAGCUCUUACAAACUGUGUAGACUGUUCAGUGUGGGUCAGGACAAGGAGGCUUCCUGGAGGAUGUGUGGACACCUGACUCUUCCAAAGGAUAUGAUGGAGUUGAGGCCUAAAGCAUUUCUGACAGGUUAGGAGCAAGGGAAGUGUUCAGACAGAAGGAAGAGCAAAUACAAGGCCUGCAGCUUAGAGGGAGGACAUGCUUCCAGGAGGAUCAGGAGCUCAUUAAGUCUGCCGAGGAAAGUGGGCAGGGAGUUUCUGUAUCAUGUAGAGUCUUGUUAUAUCUUUGGGAAAGUGAUUUAUUGAGGUGAUUCAUACAGUGGUAGUUUCAGGUGCUUUGACAGGCCAGAAGCAGGAGACAUUUUUGUAAAGUGGUAUUUAAUUCCCCUCACAUUAUCCCAGUGAGUCAGUACUAGUAGGCUUUUUUUUCUUUUUCCGGUACUGGGGAUUGAACUCAGGACCUUGUGCUUGCCAGGCAGGCGUGGGACCACUGAGCUACAUCCCUGGCCCUCUAUUGGUAGCUUUGAAUUGGGUGGUUCUAAUAUCUGCUGGAGAGGAAGUAACUCAUGUGUGGGAAUGAAUGUGUGCAUGUGAGUGCAAGUGUACCUCUGUGUGUGUGUGUGUGUGUGUGUGUGUAGGGUGAAAAAUGAAUGACAUCUGACCACCCUACCACAUGUCUUGAGACUUUCAAUACAGGAACAUAAUAUAUCUAUUUAUUUUACAUACUUUAAUUUUAGGGAUUCUUUUGUAGUUCCUAGUUUAAAGAUCUGAUGUAUGUUUUGUAAAAUUGAUUCAUCGGCAUUGUAUGUCUUUAACGCUAAGUGGAAUUCUAAUUUCAUUUUCCAAUUGUUUGCUGCUAGUAUG
Heterocephalus glaber (naked mole-rat) is the source of this 1698-nucleotide long non-coding RNA. The record is from Ensembl. NCBI's taxonomy places the organism in Eukaryota, Metazoa, Chordata, Mammalia, Rodentia, Bathyergidae.